GCGCGAAAACUUUACAAUGCUGGCAACAGCGAUAAGGGAACCUCGAGUGCCAGGUUACAAAUCUGGCUGUCGAGAUGCCUAAAAAGCAUUUCAUAGCAAGGGCCGGCCAAGACCGGUUCCAGCCGCCGCGGUAACACCGGCGGCUCGAGUGGUAACCGUUAUUAUUGGGUCUAAAGGUUCUGUAGCCGGCCGGAUAAGUCUCUUGAGACAUCUGUCAGCUUAACUGUCCGGCUUUCAGGAGAUACUGUCUGGCGGGAGGCCGGGAGAGGUGAGAGGUACUUCAGGGGUAGGGGUGAAAUCUUGUAAUCCUUGAAGGACCACCAGUGGCGAAGGCGUCUCACCAGAACGGACCUGACGGCAAGGGACGAAAGCUAGGGUCACGAACC
RNAcentral lists this ribosomal RNA (386 nucleotides) under uncultured prokaryote. RNAcentral's name for it is "bacterial SSU rRNA". It matches the Rfam family "Archaeal small subunit ribosomal RNA", at positions 339 to 725 of the family's 1478-position model. The record is from RNAcentral.